UUGAGUGCAACGUCACAGAUCAGAACUCUUCUCAACUAAACUGUCCAACCUCUCCCCACGUGCGAGAACGCUAUCAAUAGUCUUAUGC
Neltuma alba is the source of this 88-nucleotide long non-coding RNA. RefSeq lists it as uncharacterized. The transcript is spliced from 3 exons. The record is from RefSeq and is a predicted model, not a curated record. NCBI's taxonomy places the organism in Eukaryota, Viridiplantae, Streptophyta, Magnoliopsida, Fabales, Fabaceae.